GUCGAGAAUAAUUCACAAUGGACGAAAGUCUGUUGGUGCAACGCCGCGUGGAGGAUGACGGUCUUCGGAUUGUAAACUCCUGUCAUCCGGGAGUAAGACCUGGCUGUGAAUAGCAGACAGGGUUGAUAGUACCGGAAGAGGAAGGGACGGCUAACUUCGUGCCAGCAGCCGCGGUAAUACGAAGGUCCCGAGCGUUGUUCGGAAUCACUGGGCGUAAAGGGAGCGUAGGCGGCGUGGUAAGUCAGAUGUGAAAUCCCGGGGCUCAACCCCGGAACUGCAUCCGAUACUGCCGUGCUAGAGGAUUGGAGAGGUAGCUGGAAUUCUUGGUGUAGCAGUGAAAUGCGUGGAGAUCAAGAGGAACACUCGUGGCGAAAGCGAGCUACUGGACAAUAUCUGACGCUGAGGCUCGAAGGCCAGGGUAGCGAAAGGGAUUAGAAACCCGGGUAGUCC
This 450-nucleotide ribosomal RNA is filed under the name uncultured bacterium. RNAcentral describes it as "partial 16S ribosomal RNA". It matches the Rfam family "Bacterial small subunit ribosomal RNA", at positions 354 to 796 of the family's 1533-position model. The record is from RNAcentral.